Molecule: long non-coding RNA, 2655 nt
Filed under: Vitis vinifera (wine grape)
Lineage: Eukaryota; Viridiplantae; Streptophyta; Magnoliopsida; Vitales; Vitaceae
Description: long non-coding RNA (VVIN_LNC002875)
Source: RNAcentral
CUCCUGUUUUACUCGCUGCCUAGCUUUGACUUUUCCAUAGUAUUUAAACUGGGCACUGGCUUCAGAUCAGAUUUGCUGUUGAGCUUGGGAUUGUCAGUUCUAGAUGCUGCACUGGUUUCAUUUGCAGCAGAAUCUCUGGAAGAAUUAUCAGAAAAGCUUCCAUUGCCUCCAACAGAAAUCCUAUUUCUCUCUCAAUCCACAUACCAGUAGCCACUUUCAAUGUGCACAAAUAGAGGACUUAUAGCCAGGAAUGAAUCUCCCGCCAGAAUAAUUCUAAUUGCCCGACAAUGACGUUGAAAGCAUGAGGAAUAACAGUGUUGUGAGUAUUGAUUCAUGCCCAAUUGGUGUCUCAGUUGAUUCAUGUCCAGCUGGUGCUCCUUGUUUGAGGGAGUAAUCAACAAAAUUUAUAACCUAUUACACCAUAUACUAGGGUAGCAAAGAAAAAGCUACUAUAGUAUAGCGGCUCUAGGAUCGUUAACUGGGAAGGGUUUCCAAAUUACAAAUGAUACCAAUUCAAAGUGAAUUGGUACUUUUUCAUUUCAAGGUUAGCUCAAGAAAUAAAACAAAAACUUUGAUUGGUAAAGAUUUAGAUUUAAAAUGACUACAAAGCAAGUGAUGGAAAUUACUUAGGAAAAAAAACAUUCCUUGGAGGGUCAGGUUCACUGGGGAGGUUCCUCAUACAAAAGACAUAGCUCAGGCCAGUUGGUUCAUUUCCUCGCGUGAGAGAAUCAACAUAUAGUCAAUUCUCUAACCGGUGUUGUACAGAUACAUCCUUUAAUUAGAUUUCAGCUUUAAUUCUCUCACUGAUGCAACUUGCAACGGUUCGAGCCUCUCACUAAGCCUUAACCAUUCAAAGUGAUCUUUAACCUUGGACUUCCCUUCUCAAGCUCGCAAGAGAUAACUAAUGGAUGUCUCCUUGGAGUCCAAAAGCUUACCAAGUGUUGGCAAUUCCAGAAAAUCCUACCUUCAAGUCACCUCCCAGAGGCUCACAAGGGGUAAACUAGUGCAUCUCCAUGGUUGGAGAUCACUUGCCUUACCAAGUGUUGGCCUAGGUGACUCUAAGGUGUUUUAAGUUAACUAAAAACAUAGAAAUCACGAAAGGAUUUCACUUCCUUUUCAUUCAUGGAUGAAACCACAAAGCUCUGCAUUCUUGCACUUGGAACCUUUCCCGGCAACCUUAGCUCCAAGGAACUAAAGGUUUAGUUACUCAUUCUCUGGGGAAACUUCCUCAGAGAGUGCAUAACUUAGAAAAAAAAUAAAGAAUACAAAGUGAGAAGAUAAGGCAAAACAAAGGUCCUCUAUUUUACUUGCUUUCAAACUUUUACAUAAAAGGUUCCUCUCCGAGAACAGGCUCUCGAGAGCUAUUUAUAUCAACAAAAACAAAUACUAAUUAUUACAUGGAUAUUUACUCUUUUUACUAACUUAAAAGCUAAGGAAUCUUAUAAUUGGUGGCUAUCAAGGAGAAUUUUGGGAUUUAGACAACAAAAAUCUGAUGAAAAAUAUCUCCCAAUGUCGGUAGCAAAUAUUGGGAUGCACUAAGGAUCAUUUCGCAAGUGAAAAUGAUGUCUGCGAGAUUUCGCAGAUGCACAAAAAGGGCUGCAAAAUCACUUCGCAGCAAACGGCUGAUUUCGCAACGCUGCGAAGUGGUCUUUCAGCUUGUGGUAUUCGGCUUUCAUCGUGAUGGGAAACUUCAAGGGGGAAUCCACAGCACUGUACAAAAAGGCUGCGAAAUCAUCUCGCAACAAAAGGGUGAUUUCGUAGCGCUGUGCAAAAUUCUUCCUUCAGCUUGGAGUGAUUGGCUUGCAAUGGCUGUAACUCCUUCAUUUCAACUCCGAAUUGCGCAUCGUUUAAAGCAUUGGAUUUUUGAAUUCCUGAGCUUCGAAACGACAUAUAGCAUGUAUAAAUUAGACUUCAGAAAGUGCUCCAAAAGUGGCUGACAUGACUAUCAUCAAGAAUGCUUCAUGGCAGAUUUCUCUUUGCUUCUCCUCCUUGCAUUCCGGAUUUGCUUAUGACAAAGGACUUCAAAGCUUCGGUUCUUCAUGUUUCUGAGCUUUCCAUUGCUUUGCCAUAGAUUCCAAAUAACUCUCCUCAAUCUCGGAUUGCUUUGGUGAUAAAAAAGCUAUCAAAACACUAAAACUUAACACAAUUUGAUUAGAAUUGAUUGCAAGGAUCCUUAACAUGUUAAUUGGGUUAAAAGGCAAUAACUACUACUCAAAAGUGUUUAAAAGAGUUAAUUAUAAGCUAUGAAAUAGAACUUUUUGAGUAGUAAUCAAGUAUAAUUGGUACGGUCUCUUUUAUCAAUCCCUCUGCUUCCAUAAUGCGGAAAAAGGAUACCGAAACUCAGAAGAGAGCCCUCCAUAUGAAGGACAUGUCUAGCUGAAGUGUUGAAUUAAUUCUAUGGUGAAAUUUCGGCAAUGUGGAAGGAAUAAUGGCUGCAGAAACUAAAAGUGGAAGGAGUAGAGCGGCAUUGUUUUUAGACUUUUUAUGAUCAUCAUACAGAAAAACAACUCAGUAACUGAAGUUGAGUAUAUUGACAAAUCUGAGAAUGUACCUCCAACUGAUGGAACUGAGCAGCAACGCAGGAAAUCUGAUCUGCAAUUGAGACCUACUGCCACACUACAAGCUCUAGUUGAUGAUUCAAAUUAUGGUCUCGAG